GGAGCUGCAGCCCGUGGAGAGGAGCCCACGCAGGAGCAGAGGAUCUGGGGGGAGCUGCCGCCCAUGGGGGACCCAUGCUGGAGCAGUUUGCUCCUGGGGGAAGGAUGGACCCUGUGGUACGGAGCCAUGUGGGAGCAGUUCUUGAAGAGCUGCUGCCUGUGGGCAGCCCCUGCAGGCUCAGUUUAGGCAUCCCGUGGGAGGGACCCCAUGUGGAGUAGGGGCAGAGAGGUGAUAAGACAGCCUUCUGGAGUAUCAACCAUUCAUUUCGUUUCUAUGUCACUACUAGUUACUGGCCUUCCAAGAGAUGUCCUGUGUCUGAUCCCCACUCUCUUAGCAUGCUCGUUCAACCAAUUUGCAACCCACUUAAUGGUAAAUCAAGGUGAAAAAAAUUAAAGAAAAAAGACACAUCAAAACACCAUCCCAACCCAACAGUGUUUGUAACAUGUGGGGCAAAGUGCUACAGGCCCUGUUGGGGCAGAUGGCCCAUGGUGACAUCACUGAGCAAUGGGCUGUGACCUCAUAGCCCUUGCUGCUUAUAUUGGGGCACCAGCAGAGGCCACGUCAGUCUAGCUCGUGGCUGGACUCCUGCUGAGCAUGUGUGCGAGGCUUGGAGCACCGAGCGAGGAUUUGGUGGAGCCGUGCUGUGGGGCCACCGGCAGCUGUUCUCAGUGCCCGUCCCUACAGCCAUUGCCCGUGUUUCCCCGGCCCUGCCUGGCUCAGGCAGCCGGGGCCCCGCGGGACACAGCGCAGCGCAGUGAAAUUACUUAGGUGGAUUCUAAGCUCCCUUCCCAGCCCUAAAAAAAACAGCCAAACAAACAACAAAACACCAACCAACAACCUCAGAAGCUCAAGUGCAUGCAGGUGUGUGUCUGGGCCACGGAGAAACUUUCUGAAGAGGUCCGCCAACUUAAAGAGAAUUGAUCUCCCUCCCCACCUGUACAAACCAGUGUCUCAGCUAUCAGUGAUAAGUGUCCUCCUGUGCAAUGAAGAUGACAAAGUGGGUACACGCGCUGUGCCACCCUGUGGUUUUCCCUACAUGACCAUGGAGAGAACACAAAAAGGGAUGGAGAAUCUACUAGGACGCUACAGCCACGGGAAUCUGAGCUGCAAAGACAAAAAAAAGGGGGGUUCUGUGAGAAAUAUGU
Molecule: long non-coding RNA, 1145 nt
Filed under: Anser cygnoides (Swan goose)
Lineage: Eukaryota; Metazoa; Chordata; Aves; Anseriformes; Anatidae
Description: lncRNA (ENSACDG00005009969.1)
Source: RNAcentral